GUAGAAUCAGGAGAGGAGAGUAGUAGAAUCAGGAGAGGAGAGUAGUAGAAUCAGGUGAGGAGAGUAGUAGAGAGUAGUAGAAUCAGGUGAGGAGAGUAGUAGAAUCAGGAGAGGAGAGUAGUAGAAUCAGGAGAGGAGAGUAGUAGAGAGUAGUAGAAUCAGGAGAGGAGAGUAGUAGAAUCAGGAGAGGAGAGUAGUAGAGAGUAGUAGAAUCAGGAGAGGAGAGUAGUAGAAUCAGGAGAGGAGAGUAGUAGAAUCAGGAGAGGAGAGUAGUAGAAUCAGGAGAGGAGAGUAGUAGAAUCAGGGGAGGAGAGUAGUAGAAUCAGGUGAGGAGAGUAGUAGAGAGUAGUAGAAUCAGGAGAGGAGAGUAGUAGAAUCAGGAGAGUAGUAGAAUCAGGGGAGGAGAGUAGUAGAAUCAGGAGAGUAGUAGAAUCAGGGGAGGAGAGUAGUAGAAUCAGGAGAGGAGAGUAGUAGAAUCAGGAGAGAAGAGUAGUAGAAUCAGGAGAGGAGAAUAGUAGAAUCAGGAGAGGAGAGUAGUAGAAUCAGGAGAGGAGAGUAGUAGAAUCAGGGGAGGAGAGUAGUAGAGAGUAGUAGAAUCAGGAGAGGAGAGUAGUAGAAUCUCUACUACAGGAGAGUAGUAGAAUCAGUAGAGGAGAGUAGUAGAAUCUCUACUACAGGAGAGUAGUAGAAUCAGUAGAGGAGAGUAGUAGAAUCAGG
This 717-nucleotide long non-coding RNA is filed under the name Salmo salar (Atlantic salmon). Its description in RNAcentral is "lncRNA (ENSSSAG00000112510.1)". The record is from RNAcentral. Lineage: Eukaryota; Metazoa; Chordata; Actinopteri; Salmoniformes; Salmonidae.